RNAcentral lists this ribosomal RNA (554 nucleotides) under uncultured fungus. RNAcentral's name for it is "eukaryotic LSU rRNA". It matches the Rfam family "Eukaryotic large subunit ribosomal RNA", at positions 70 to 650 of the family's 3401-position model. Lineage: Eukaryota; Fungi. The record is from RNAcentral.
AGGGAUUGCCUCAGUAACGGCGAGUGAAGCGGCAACAGCUCAAAUUUGAAAUCUGGCCUUCGGGUCCGAAUUGUAAUUUGUAGAGGAAGCUUUUGGUGAGGUACCUUCCGAGUUCCUUGGAACAGGACGCCUUAGAGGGUGAGAGCCCCGUACGGUUGGAUGCCAAACCUUUGUAUAGCUCCUUCGACGAGUCGAGUAGUUUGGGAAUGCUGCUCUAAAUAGGAGGUAAAUUUCUUCUAAAGCUAAAUACCGGCCAGAGACCGAUAGCGCACAAGUAGAGUGAUCGAAGGAUGAAAAGCACUUUGAAAAGAGGGUUAAAUAGUACGUGAAAUUGUUGAAAGGGAAGGGUUUAUGACCAGACCUUUGCCUUGCGGAUCAUCCGGUGUUCUCACCGGUGCACUUCGCUUGGUUUAGGCCAGCAUCGAUUCUGGUAGGGGGAUAAAGGCUUUGGGAAUGUGACUCUUCGGAGUGUUAUAGCCCUUUGCGUAAUACCUUUACUGGGAUCGAGGACCGCGCUUUUGCAAGGAUGCUGGCAUAAUGGUCAUCAACCACCC